Bombina bombina (fire-bellied toad) is the source of this 1515-nucleotide long non-coding RNA. RefSeq lists it as uncharacterized. The record is from RefSeq and is a predicted model, not a curated record. The transcript has 4 exons. NCBI's taxonomy places the organism in Eukaryota, Metazoa, Chordata, Amphibia, Anura, Bombinatoridae.
CAGUGGCAGCACUGUUAGCCAUCAUUCACUGCGUCCGUUCCAAGCAAUGGAAACACGUGAGACCUAAAGAAUAUUUCACUAGCGUGUGAAAAAAGAAAAGUUUCUCCAAAGGCUCGUCACUCCAACCCACUGCCAUAGGCAAGUAGAAGGGAACAAAGCUCGAAAAGCUUAUAAGAAAGGUGAAACCACAAAAGAGAGAGUUAAUGGCCAAUCCACAGCUUUGGAUCUGUCUCUUGAAGAUUGAAGAGAGAUUGAAGACACAGCUAUAACCAUUAGAAGUACGUUGGAGCAACAUGGGAGGAGCGGAUGAUCGUCUGGAACGCCUCAUGAUGAAAGGAUUGAAGAAUGAAGAAGUAAUCUGCUUCUGUGAAGAAGGAUCAACUUGUCAGCUUCUUGUCCAAGGUCAAAGAGGAACAGGAAAUGCAGUGCAUCAGCAUAAGAAAGGAAGCAGCAGUCUCUUUUUUGCAACGACAACCCUGAGGAUACAGCAGUUGUCUUCAAAUCUGUGACCAUAAAAAUCAUUAUCUCUGUGAAAUACAGCAAUUUGGGAGAUAAUCAAACAGUGACCAGGGGGCAGAGCUGCCAAUCUGAAGGAUUAUGCUCUGUGCACGUCUGAUUCCGCCUGACCUUCCUCGGAGCCAGCUGUCAGCUUGGCGAAAAAACACACAAAUCGACUUCAGGCACAUUCAUUAGACUGUCUUGAGUGAAAAAAAUAAUUUGCAUAAAGCCUCAGCUUUCUUAAUUAGUACUUAAUUUUUUCCCUUGACUUAUUUUGUGCUAAGUCCACUAUUUAAUAUCACCUAGUUAAAGACAGAAACAACUCAUCCAAAAUAUUCACUUUAAUAUCUUUUGAUUUUUUUUUUUCAUUUUAGAAGUAUGUGAAGCCAGUUAUAAUAUACCCACUUGUGUAUGAAACAAUUGUGUGUGAAACACAGUUUAGGUAUUGAAUAUAUAUGCAUUAAGCAGAAGCUAAUUACAAUGCAAGAUUCACACUGUUUACAAUGACAUCAAAUGCAUGUUGCAUAUGACACUUGGGCAUGGAGCAAUGUGCACUAAUUAAGCUAUUUUGGGUUUAAGUCUAGCACUAUACCUUUAAUUAAGAGUGUUCUGCUAUUUCAGGAUCAUGUUUGUUCUGGCUGAGAUCAUCUGUUGCUCUUCUUGCUAAAAGCUUAGAAACAAUUUGAUCUGGAGGGGAAACACACAGUGUUCAGGUCAACAAUUUACAGGGGAAACAACAAGAUUAUGUAAACCUAAUUGAUAUGCGUUGUAUCCUUCACAAAUAGUCUCAGGUUAUUUUCCUGUUAAAAAUAGUAGGUGUGGAAUUGGAAAUAUAUGUACUUAUUUCCCUUUGCUAAGGAUAAUAGCCAUCUAAAGCAAAAUGAUUUUAAAAAACAAAACAAAAUAACAAAACCUUUGAAAUUGAUUUUGUUUGAAAGUGUUAUAGAAGCAUUAAAUGCAUAAUAAAACAUUGCACAAUAAAAAGACAACGUAAAAGUGCUUUGUAUGAAUUUCAAA